This 484-nucleotide ribosomal RNA is filed under the name uncultured bacterium. Its description in RNAcentral is "partial 16S ribosomal RNA". It matches the Rfam family "Bacterial small subunit ribosomal RNA", at positions 28 to 507 of the family's 1533-position model. The record is from RNAcentral.
AUUGAACGCUGGCGGCAUGCUUAACACAUGCGAGUCGAACGGCAACGCGGGGUUCGUCCUGGCGGCGAGUGGCGAACGGGCGAGUAAUGCACCGGAACGUGCCCAGCAGUGGGGGAUGGCACGGCGAAGGCCGGAUGGAUACCGCAUACGACCAGAGGGUGAAAGGGGGGGACCGAUAGGCAUCGCGGGAUUGGAGGGGCCGACGCCGGAUUAGCUAGUUGGUUGGGUAAAGGCUUACCAAGGCGACGAUCCGUAGCUGGUCUGAGAGGCCGACCGGCCACACUGGAACUGAGACACGGCCCAGACUCCUACGGGAGGCAGCAGUGGGGAAUUUUGGGCAAUGGGGGCAAGCCUGACCCAGCCACGCCGCGUGCGGGAAGAAGGCCUUCGGGUUGUAAACCGCUUUUGUUCGGGAAGAACACCUGUGGGCUAAUACCCCGGGGGGAUGACGGUACCGGAAGAAUAAGCACCGGCUAACUACGUG